Molecule: ribosomal RNA, 497 nt
Filed under: uncultured bacterium
Lineage: Bacteria
Description: partial 16S ribosomal RNA
Rfam family: Bacterial small subunit ribosomal RNA
Source: RNAcentral
GAUGAACGCUGGCGGCGUGCCUAAUACAUGCAAGUCGAGCGAACGGACGAUAAGCUUGCUUCUCUGAUGUUAGCGGCGGACGGGUGAGUAACACGUGGAUAACCUACCUAUAAGACUGGGAUAACUUCGGGAAACCGUAGCUAAUACCGGAUAAUAUUUUCAACCGCAUGGUUCAAAAGUGAAAGACGGUCUUGCUGUCACUUAUAGAUGGAUCCGCGCUGCAUUAGCUAGUUGGUAAGGUAACGGCUUACCAAGGCAACGAUGCAUAGCCGACCUGAGAGGGUGAUCGGCCACACUGGAACUGAGACACGGUCCAGACUCCUACGGGAGGCAGCAGUAGGGAAUCUUGCGCAAUGGGCGAAAGCCUGACGGAGCAACGCCGCGUGAGUGAUGAAGGUCUUCGGAUCGUAAAACUCUGUUAUUAGGGAAGAACAUAUGUGGAAGUAACUGUGCAUAUCUUGACGGUACCUAAUCAGAAAGCAACGGCUAACUACGUG